UACGGAGGAUGCGAGCGUUAUCCGGAUUUAUUGGGUUUAAAGGGUGCGCAGGCGGCGUGUCAAGUCAGCGGUAAAAUGUCGGGGCUCAACCCCGGCCGGCCGUUGAAACUGGCGUGCUCGAGUUGGAGAGAAGUAUGCGGAAUUCGUGGUGUAGCGGUGAAAUGCAUAGAUAUCACGAAGAACCCCGAUUGCGAAGGCAGCAUACCGGCUCCACACUGACGCUGAGGCACGAAAGCGUGGGUACCGAACAGG
RNAcentral lists this ribosomal RNA (252 nucleotides) under uncultured bacterium. RNAcentral's name for it is "partial 16S ribosomal RNA". It matches the Rfam family "Bacterial small subunit ribosomal RNA", at positions 524 to 776 of the family's 1533-position model. The record is from RNAcentral.